Long non-coding RNA from Corythoichthys intestinalis (scribbled pipefish), 2087 nucleotides. RefSeq lists it as uncharacterized. Lineage: Eukaryota; Metazoa; Chordata; Actinopteri; Syngnathiformes; Syngnathidae. The record is from RefSeq and is a predicted model, not a curated record. The transcript has 3 exons.
ACUCACGCAUUGUCGCGUUCAAUCUAUAAUGGCGCUGAUUUACUUAUAUAUAGAGGUAAAAGGCAGCGUAAAAUGUUUAGAGCAAAUUUUGGCAGUCUUUGGAGCCUUUUUUUAAUUGGCUAAAGCCUUAAAAUCCCUCUCUCAACAAUUAAAAAUAUCGUGGGAAAGCAAUUUGGGGAAGUAAGGUAGUAGUUGAUCGUUUUCUUUACACCCUGUGUUAUUUCCCAACGCAGAGAAGAUAUAUCAAUUGGUGCCACUACGCACAGUCAUGGUUGCACUUCUCAUCAUGCAAUUAGGCAGAACAGUUAAAUGGCUACAGUGUCAUUUACUGAAAGCUCAACAAAUACACUAGAUGGCAAUAUUUAGUCAGAAUAUACAAAGUCACAUUUAUCCAUUAAGAAUUACAAGUCUUUCUAUCCGUGGAUCCCUCUCACAGAAAGAAUUAAUAAUGUAAAUGCCAUCUUGAGGAUUUAUUGUCAUAAUAAACAAAUACAGUACUUAUGUACUGUAUGUUGAAUGUAUAUAUUCGUCCGAGUUUUAUUCAUUUUUUUCUUAACGCAUUGCCAAAAUGUAUAUGAUCGGGAAAAAUUAUCGGGAAUGAUUGGAAUUAAAUCGGGAGCAAAAAAAAAAAGCAAUCGGAUCGGGAAAUAUUGGGAUCGGCAGAUACUCAAACUAAAACGAUCGGGAUCGGAUCGGGAGCAAAAAAAACAUGAUCGGAACAACCCUAGUUAAUAGUAAAUAUUCUAGUAUAUAUUUUUUCAAAUUCUUAAAUUCAGCUGAAUUAUACAUGACAAAGUAUUUUUUGAAAAAUUAAUAGUAAUAACACAGUGGUAUGAAAAAGUGAACCUUUUGGAAUUUCUCACAUUUCUGCAUAAAAUCAAAUGUGAUAUGAUCUUUGUCAAAAUCACACAGAUGAAAAAACUGCUUUAAUUAAAACCACCCUAACUUUUAUAGGUUUUCGUAUUUUAAUUAGUAUGCAAAAAAUGACAGAAGGGGGAAAAAUAAGUGAACCAUCACAUUUAAUAUUUUGUGCCCCCCCUUUGGCAGGAAUAACUUCAUCCAGAUGCUUCCUGUAGCUGGCACAUCGAUCAGGACUAAUCUUGGCGUAAUCUUCCCUACAAAACUGCUGUAGUUCAGUCAGAUUCCUGGGAUGUCUGGCACGAAUUGCUGUCUGUAGGUCAUGCCACAGCAUCUCAAUCGGGUUCUAGUCUGGACUUUGACUUGGCCACUCCAGAACGUGUAUAACUGGUAUGUUCUUCUGAAACCAUUCUGAAGUUGAUUUACUUAUGUGUUUUGGAUCAUUGUGUUGUUGCAGUAUCCAUCCUCUUUAAAGCUUCAACUGUCUGACAGACCGCCUCAGGUUUUCCUGCAAAACAUCCUGAUAAACUUUUGACUUAAUUCUUUCAUUAAUGAUUGCAAGUUGUCCAAGGCCUGAGGCAGAAAAACAGCCCCAAAUCAUGAUGCUCCCCUCCAUCAAGCUUCGUGGUGGUUGAUGUUGGGUUCUUUUUUCCCUCUGAGUAUUCUGCGCUGAACUCUUGGCGUCAUCUUUGGUGGAAGGCCACUCGUUGGGAGAGAAGCAACAGUGCCAAAUUCUCUCCAUUUGUUGACAACUCAUCCGACUGUCAAAUGGUGAACAUCCAGACUUUUAGAGAUGGUUUUGUAUCCUUUCCCAGCUUUAUACAAAACAACAAUCCUUGAUCGCAGGUCUUCAGACAGCUUUUGAAAGAGCCAAGAUGCACAUCAGACAAUGCUUUUCAUCAAGACUAUUCUUACCAGGAUAGGUUCCUCUCCCAGGCAAGAGCUGCUCUUUGUUUCCCUAGGAAAAGCUUUGGAGAUGAAAGCCAGCAGGAAGCUAAUAACGUAGCCUCUCGUGUGGAAUUAGCUCACGUUUGAAGAGUCCACCCGAAUUCACCUGGGACCUUUAGUUGGAAUAACCCUGACUGGCAUUUAAAACAUGCUAUGUCUGCUCGAGCAGCAUGUGCUUCAUCAUUACCCAAUAUUCUUGGAUAGCCCGAUCCAACCAAUGGAUUGAACAUAACUUGGUCUUUUCCUGGUUAAAUUCGCAACAAUCGUCAGCUCAGCCUAGU